AUCACUUUUUUUUUUUUGAGACAGUCUCGCUCUGUCGCCAGGCUGGAGUGCAGUGGCGCGAUCUCGGCUCACUGCAACCUCCGACUCGCGGGCUCAAGCGAUUCUCCUGCCUCAGCCUCCCGAGUAGUUGGGAUUACAAGGCGCCCGCCACCACGCUCGGCAUAAUUUUGUAUUUUUAGUAGGGACAGGGUUUCGCCUGUUGGCCAGGCUGGUCACGAACCCUUUACCUCAGGUGUUCCGCCCGCCUUGGCCUCCCAAAGGGCUGAGAUUACAGGCGUGAUCCACCGUGCCCGGCCGGCAUCACUUAUUUAUAUUAUGUGUCACCUAUAGGACUUAUCUAAGACCAUAAUCACUGCCGCGUGUGCUAACCCCCGCGCGCGUGCAUUCAGGCCCCUCUGGAUAGACACUGGGGACCCCUGACCACUUAUGUCUGGGAAAACGCCACCAAGCGCUCCGGAACCUCAGGGCAGGACCCGCCGCAGCAGCAGUUGUUUUGGAGAAUCAUGUAGUGACAGAUGAAGAUGAACCUGCUUUGAAACGCCAGCGACUAGAAAUCAAUUGCCAGGAUCCAUCUAUAAAGUCAUUCCUGUAUUCCAUCAACCAGACAAUCUGCUUGCGGUUGGAUAGCAUUGAAGCCAAAUUGCAAGCCCUGGAGGCUACUUGUAAAUCCUUAGAAGAAAAGCUGGAUCUGGUCACGAACAAGCAGCACAGCCCCAUCCAGGUUCCCAUGGUGGCCGGCUCCCCUCUCGGGGCAA
RNAcentral lists this small RNA (755 nucleotides) under Pan troglodytes (chimpanzee). RNAcentral describes it as "processed transcript". Lineage: Eukaryota; Metazoa; Chordata; Mammalia; Primates; Hominidae. The record is from RNAcentral.